AUUGAACGCUGGCGGCAUGCUUUACACAUGCAAGUCGAACGGCAGCACGAAAGAGCUUGCUCUUUUGGUGGCGAGUGGCGAACGGGUGAGUAAUGCAUCGGAACGUACCGAGUAAUGGGGGAUAACUAUCCGAAAGGAUAGCUAAUACCGCAUACGCUUUGAGAAGGAAAGUGGGGGCUCUUCGGACCUCACGUUAUUCGAGCGGCCGAUGUCUGAUUAGCUAGUUGGUGGGGUAAAGGCCUACCAAGGCGACGAUCAGUAGCGGGUCUGAGAGGAUGAUCCGCCACACUGGGACUGAGACACGGCCCAGACUCCUACGGGAGGCAGCAGUGGGGAAUUUUGGACAAUGGGCGCAAGCCUGAUCCAGCCAUGCCGCGUGUCUGAAGAAGGCCUUCGGGUUGUAAAGGACUUUUGUUAGGGAAGAAAAGGAUAGUGUAAUACCAUAUCUGCUGAC
Molecule: ribosomal RNA, 454 nt
Filed under: Kingella oralis
Lineage: Bacteria; Pseudomonadati; Pseudomonadota; Betaproteobacteria; Neisseriales; Neisseriaceae
Description: bacterial SSU rRNA
Rfam family: Bacterial small subunit ribosomal RNA
Source: RNAcentral